Molecule: ribosomal RNA, 460 nt
Filed under: uncultured Anoxybacillus sp.
Lineage: Bacteria; Bacillati; Bacillota; Bacilli; Caryophanales; Anoxybacillaceae
Description: bacterial SSU rRNA
Rfam family: Bacterial small subunit ribosomal RNA
Source: RNAcentral
GCACAAGCGGUGGAGCAUGUGGUUAAUUCGAAGCAACGCGAAGAACCUUACCAGGUCUUGACAUCCCCUGACAACCCGAGAGAUCGGGCGUUCCCCCUUCGGGGGACAGGGUGACAGGUGGUGCAUGGUUGUCGUCAGCUCGUGUCGUGAGAUGUUGGGUUAAGUCCCGCAACGAGCGCAACCCUCGACCUUAGUUGCCAGCAUUCAGUUGGGCACUCUAAGGUGACUGCCGGCUAAAAGUCGGAGGAAGGUGGGGAUGACGUCAAAUCAUCAUGCCCCUUAUGGGUAGGGCUUCACACGUCAUACAAUGGUCGGUACAGAGGGUUGCCAACCCGCGAGGGGGAGCUAAUCCCACAAAGCCGAUCGUAGUCCGGAUCGCAGUCUGCAACUCGACUGCGUGAAGUCGGAAUCGCUAGUAAUCGUGGAUCAGCAUGUCACGGUGAAUACGUUCCCGGGUCUU